This 2851-nucleotide ribosomal RNA is filed under the name Salmonella enterica subsp. enterica serovar Typhimurium str. DT104. Its description in RNAcentral is "bacterial LSU rRNA". It matches the Rfam family "Bacterial large subunit ribosomal RNA". The record is from RNAcentral. Lineage: Bacteria; Pseudomonadati; Pseudomonadota; Gammaproteobacteria; Enterobacterales; Enterobacteriaceae.
CGUCACACUAUCAUUAACUGAAUCCAUAGGUUAAUGAGGCGAACCGGGGGAACUGAAACAUCUAAGUACCCCGAGGAAAAGAAAUCAACCGAGAUUCCCCCAGUAGCGGCGAGCGAACGGGGAGGAGCCCAGAGCCUGAAUCAGCAUGUGUGUUAGUGGAAGCGUCUGGAAAGGUGCGCGAUACAGGGUGACAGCCCCGUACACAAAAGCGCAUGUGCUGUGAGCUCGAUGAGUAGGGCGGGACACGUGGUAUCCUGUCUGAAUAUGGGGGGACCAUCCUCCAAGGCUAAAUACUCCUGACUGACCGAUAGUGAACCAGUACCGUGAGGGAAAGGCGAAAAGAACCCCGGCGAGGGGAGUGAAAAAGAACCUGAAACCGUGUACGUACAAGCAGUGGGAGCACCCUUCGGGGUGUGACUGCGUACCUUUUGUAUAAUGGGUCAGCGACUUAUAUUCUGUAGCAAGGUUAACCGUAUAGGGGAGCCGGAGGGAAACCGAGUCUUAACCGGGCGUUAAGUUGCAGGGUAUAGACCCGAAACCCGGUGAUCUAGCCAUGGGCAGGUUGAAGGUUGGGUAACACUAACUGGAGGACCGAACCGACUAAUGUUGAAAAAUUAGCGGAUGACCUGUGGCUGGGGGUGAAAGGCCAAUCAAACCGGGAGAUAGCUGGUUCUCCCCGAAAGCUAUUUAGGUAGCGCCUCGUGAAUUCAUCUCCGGGGGUAGAGCACUGUUUCGGCUAGGGGGCCAUCCCGGCUUACCAACCCGAUGCAAACUGCGAAUACCGGAGAAUGUUAUCACGGGAGACACACGGCGGGUGCUAACGUCCGUCGUGAAGAGGGAAACAACCCAGACCGCCAGCUAAGGUCCCAAAGUCAUGGUUAAGUGGGAAACGAUGUGGGAAGGCCCAGACAGCCAGGAUGUUGGCUUAGAAGCAGCCAUCAUUUAAAGAAAGCGUAAUAGCUCACUGGUCGAGUCGGCCUGCGCGGAAGAUGUAACGGGGCUAAACCAUGCACCGAAGCUGCGGCAGCGAACGUAUCACCCAAGACAACUUUACGGAGUUGACGAUUGACGGAGCGAAGCGACGUCAAAGCGUUCAUUAAAGUCGAGUUGGCUUAGGGAUACGUUCGUUGGGUAGGGGAGCGUUCUGUAAGCCUGUGAAGGUGUGUCGUGAGGCAUGCUGGAGGUAUCAGAAGUGCGAAUGCUGACAUAAGUAACGAUAAAGCGGGUGAAAAGCCCGCUCGCCGGAAGACCAAGGGUUCCUGUCCAACGUUAAUCGGGGCAGGGUGAGUCGACCCCUAAGGCGAGGCCGAAAGGCGUAGUCGAUGGGAAACGGGUUAAUAUUCCCGUACUUGGUGUUACUGCGAAGGGGGGACGGAGAAGGCUAUGUUGGCCGGGCGACGGUUGUCCCGGUUUAAGCGUGUAGGUGUGUGUUCCAGGUAAAUCCGGUUCACUUUAACACUGAGGCGUGACGACGAGGCACUACGGUGCUGAAGCAACAAAUGCCCUGCUUCCAGGAAAAGCCUCUAAGCAUCAGGUAACACGAAAUCGUACCCCAAACCGACACAGGUGGUCAGGUAGAGAAUACCAAGGCGCUUGAGAGAACUCGGGUGAAGGAACUAGGCAAAAUGGUGCCGUAACUUCGGGAGAAGGCACGCUGACACGUAGGUGAAGUGAUUUACUCAUGGAGCUGAAGUCAGUCGAAGAUACCAGCUGGCUGCAACUGUUUAUUAAAAACACAGCACUGUGCAAACACGAAAGUGGACGUAUACGGUGUGACGCCUGCCCGGUGCCGGAAGGUUAAUUGAUGGGGUCAGCGCAAGCGAAGCUCCUGAUCGAAGCCCCGGUAAACGGCGGCCGUAACUAUAACGGUCCUAAGGUAGCGAAAUUCCUUGUCGGGUAAGUUCCGACCUGCACGAAUGGCGUAAUGAUGGCCAGGCUGUCUCCACCCGAGACUCAGUGAAAUUGAACUCGCUGUGAAGAUGCAGUGUACCCGCGGCAAGACGGAAAGACCCCGUGAACCUUUACUAUAGCUUGACACUGAACAUUGAGCCUUGAUGUGUAGGAUAGGUGGGAGGCUUUGAAGUGUGGACGCCAGUCUGCAUGGAGCCGACCUUGAAAUACCACCCUUUAAUGUUUGAUGUUCUAACGUGGACCCGUAAUCCGGGUUGCGGACAGUGUCUGGUGGGUAGUUUGACUGGGGCGGUCUCCUCCUAAAGAGUAACGGAGGAGCACGAAGGUUGGCUAAUCCUGGUCGGACAUCAGGAGGUUAGUGCAAUGGCAUAAGCCAGCUUGACUGCGAGCGUGACGGCGCGAGCAGGUGCGAAAGCAGGUCAUAGUGAUCCGGUGGUUCUGAAUGGAAGGGCCAUCGCUCAACGGAUAAAAGGUACUCCGGGGAUAACAGGCUGAUACCGCCCAAGAGUUCAUAUCGACGGCGGUGUUUGGCACCUCGAUGUCGGCUCAUCACAUCCUGGGGCUGAAGUAGGUCCCAAGGGUAUGGCUGUUCGCCAUUUAAAGUGGUACGCGAGCUGGGUUUAGAACGUCGUGAGACAGUUCGGUCCCUAUCUGCCGUGGGCGCUGGAGAACUGAGGGGGGCUGCUCCUAGUACGAGAGGACCGGAGUGGACGCAUCACUGGUGUUCGGGUUGUCAUGCCAAUGGCACUGCCCGGUAGCUAAAUGCGGAAGAGAUAAGUGCUGAAAGCAUCUAAGCACGAAACUUGCCCCGAGAUGAGUUCUCCCUGAGACUUAGAGUCUCCUGAAGGAACGUUGAAGACGACGACGUUGAUAGGCCGGGUGUGUAAGCGCAGCGAUGCGUUGAGCUAACCGGUACUAAUGAACCGUGAGGCUUAACCUU